Molecule: ribosomal RNA, 611 nt
Filed under: uncultured Methanomicrobiaceae archaeon
Lineage: Archaea; Methanobacteriati; Methanobacteriota; Methanomicrobia; Methanomicrobiales; Methanomicrobiaceae
Description: bacterial SSU rRNA
Rfam family: Archaeal small subunit ribosomal RNA
Source: RNAcentral
CUGUUUAAAUAACAGGUGAAGAAAGGGCCGGGCAAGACCGGUGCCAGCCGCCGCGGUAAUACCGGCGGCUCGAGUGGUGGCCACUAUUACUGGGCUUAAAGCGUUCGUAGCUGGUCUGUUAAGUCUCUGGGGAAAUCUACUGGCUUAACCAAUAGGCGUCUCAGGGAUACUGGCAGACUAGGGACCGGGAGAGGUGAGAGGUACUCCAGGGGUAGGAGUGAAAUCCUGUAAUCCUUGGGGGACCACCUGUGGCGAAGGCGUCUCACCAGAACGGCUCCGACAGUGAGGGACGAAAGCUGGGGGAGCAAACCGGAUUAGAUACCCGGGUAGUCCCAGCCGUAAACGAUGCGCGUUAGGUGUAUCGGUGACCACGAGUCACCGAGGUGCCGAAGAGAAAUCGUGAAACGUGCCGCCUGGGAAGUACGGUCGCAAGGCUGAAACUUAAAGGAAUUGGCGGGGGAGCACCACAACAGGUGGAGCCUGCGGUUUAAUCGGACUCAACGCCGGAAAUCUCACCGGAUAAGACAGCUGGAUGAUAGUCGGGCUGAAGACUCUACUUGACUAGCUGAGAGGAGGUGCAUGGCCGUCGUCAGUUCGUAUGUUGGAGCAUA